GGGGGUAUAGCUCAGUUGGUAGAGCACCUGCUUUGCACGCAGGGGGUCAGCGGUUCGAGUCCGCUUACCUCCA
This 73-nucleotide transfer RNA is filed under the name Synechococcus sp. PCC 6716. Its description in RNAcentral is "tRNA-Ala". It matches the Rfam family "tRNA". Rfam says of the family: Transfer RNA (tRNA) molecules are approximately 80 nucleotides in length. Their secondary structure includes four short double-helical elements and three loops (D, anti-codon, and T loops). Further hydrogen bonds mediate the characteristic L-shaped molecular structure. tRNAs have two regions of fundamental functional importance: the anti-codon, which is responsible for specific mRNA codon recognition, and the 3' end, to which the tRNAs corresponding amino acid is attached (by aminoacyl-tRNA synthetases). tRNAs cope with the degeneracy of the genetic code in two manners: having more than one tRNA (with a specific anti-codon) for a particular amino acid; and 'wobble' base-pairing, i.e. permitting non-standard base-pairing at the 3rd anti-codon position. The record is from RNAcentral. Lineage: Bacteria; Bacillati; Cyanobacteriota; Cyanophyceae; Synechococcales; Synechococcaceae. RNAcentral also lists the same sequence under 46 other names.